RNAcentral lists this RNase P RNA (445 nucleotides) under Scytonema tolypothrichoides VB-61278. RNAcentral's name for it is "RNase P RNA component class A". It matches the Rfam family "Bacterial RNase P class A". From Rfam's summary of the family: Ribonuclease P (RNase P) is a ubiquitous endoribonuclease, found in archaea, bacteria and eukarya as well as chloroplasts and mitochondria. Its best characterised activity is the generation of mature 5'-ends of tRNAs by cleaving the 5'-leader elements of precursor-tRNAs. Lineage: Bacteria; Bacillati; Cyanobacteriota; Cyanophyceae; Nostocales; Scytonemataceae. The record is from RNAcentral.
AGAGUAGGCGCAGGUGGUUACAGACUAGUUUCGUUGAGACUGGUUUGAGGAAAGUCCGGGCUCCCGAAAGACCAGACUUGCUGGAUAACUCCCAGUGCGAGCGAUCGCGAGGAUAGUGCCACAGAAACAUACCGCCAGAAUCAAUUCAAAAUUCAAAAUUCAAAGUUCAAAAUGAAUAAUGUUUUUGAAUUGAUUCUGGUAAGGGUGCAAAGGUGCGGUAAGAGCGCACCAGCAUGAUCGAGAGAUCAUGGCUCGGUAAACCCCGGUUGGGAGCAAGGCGAAGGAACUAUGGUUGGUCUUUUACCAGUUCCGCUCUCAUAAGAGCCGCUAGAGGCGUUUGGUAACAAACGUCCCAGAUAGAUAACCGCCCUCUUAAAUGUAGAAACGUAAUGUGUUACCUUUUUACAAAAGAGAACAGAACCCGGCUUACGUUCCGACUCUCUCC